Callithrix jacchus (white-tufted-ear marmoset) is the source of this 3534-nucleotide long non-coding RNA. RefSeq lists it as uncharacterized. Lineage: Eukaryota; Metazoa; Chordata; Mammalia; Primates; Cebidae. The record is from RefSeq and is a predicted model, not a curated record.
AGGCGGGUCUCCCCUGUUGGGCGGGGGCGGGGACUGGACAGGUGGUCACGCCCCAGGAGAUGGGCGGGGCUGCAGUCCAGACUAAUUCCCGCGGCGAGGGAGAGGCUAGCAAAAAAGCCCAGCGGAGAAAGAUGGGCUAGACAGAUGGGAAAUGGGCGGAGGAAAAGAGAUGACAAAAAAAAUCUGGAAGAAAACCAAAGGUGGUCCUACAGGUUUAUUUAGGAGGCAUCUUUUCCAAGCUCUGUAACCCUGGGCAGGACAUGGCUCGCUCUACUUACCAGAAAAAUACUGGCAUCUUUCACCUACAAUUGUGAUCACGAUAAAACCAGUUUAAUAUAAUAAUGUUAAAGCUGCUUGAAGAUAAGGAUCUUGUUUGUCUUGUUCAUCACUAUUUCCCCAGCACCUAAAACUGUGCAGAGAACUGAGGACAGCUUCACCAAAACUCAGCUCUUGAAUUUUCCUGCCUUAAACCCAGAGACGGGUUCUUGCUAUGUUGCCCAGAUUGGAGUGCAAUUGCCAUUCACAGGUGCAAUCAUAGUACACUGCAGCCUCAAACUUCUGGCCUCAAGAUGUCCUCCCAUCUCAGCCUACCAAGUACCUGGAAUUACAGUUGUGUGUCACUGCACCUGGCUUUCACAAUUUUUUUUUUUUUGAAACGAGUCCCAAUCUGUCACCAAGGCUGGAGUGCAAUGGCACCAUCUCGGCUCACUGAAACCUCCACCUCCAGGGUUCAAGAGAUUCUCCUACCUCCCAAGUAGCUAAUUCCUCCCAAGUAGGAAUUAUAGGCACCCACUACCACACUUGGCUAAUUUUUUUGUAUUUUUAGUAGAGAUGGGGUUUUGUCAUGUUGGGCAGGCUGGUAUUGAACUUCUGACCUCAGGUGAUCCACCCAUCUUGGCCUCCCAAAGUGGUGGGAUUACAGGCAUGAGCCACUGUGCCCGGCCUGGAUUUCACUUUUAUAUAUAGUAUAAAACCUGAGAUUUCAUUAACUCAGAAUAUACCCUCAACUCAAAUUAUUAGACACUUUGAAGCCAGCUAAUACUUAUUCAACAAAUACUGAGUACCUUCUCUGUGGCAGACACAAGGCUUGGCCCUGAGGACAUGACUGGUGAACUAAACAUAAUACUUGAAUGUCUAGGAAUUUAUCACCUGCUGCAAGGAACAAGCCCAAGGCAAUGUGCUAAGGUUUAUUUUAGGCAACUUGGGAACUUACAGGAGGAACCUUACUCAGUUUGAGAAAGUCAAAAAGGCUUCCUGGAGGAGGGGGCACUCAGCUGAGACCUGAAAGAUGAUUCUAAGUAUACAGGUAAAAGGGGAACAGGAGUAGGAAGAGCAUCCCCUGUGGUGGGACCAGUGGGGGUACAGGCAUGGGAGCUAGAGGGGUGAGAUGGUCACAGAGCCACUGCAGGAGAAUCACUUGAAUCCAGGAGGCGAAGGUUGCAGUGAGCCAAGAUCACGCCAUUGCACUCUAGCCUGGGCAACAAAAGCAAAACUCUGUCUCAAAAAAAAAAAAAUCAAACAAAGUGUUUUCCUUGAGUUGACUCAAUAGUGGGUGUUUGUGGGACAAGAUAAGAUGCAAUUGAAGAGGCUUCAAUGCCCCACACAGUUCCUUGAACUGCCAUGGAGAGCCAUUGCAAAAUGUCAAUCUGGGGCUAGUCAGUAACCAUUCAGUUUUGUUCCAAAUUCCCCAAAUAUGCCUGACCAUAAAUUGAGAUAUUGACAAAUAUAUAUAAACUGGGCUGUUUUCAUGCCCUGCUGGCACUGCUGAUUUUCUGUUACGAAGGAAAGGAUUGUCAAAGGCAAGGAGUAUUGGGCCUGCUGAUCUCAUUUGCAAUCAACAAGGAGCAAGGUUUCAGCCUGGGGAAGUGGCCAAGGGCCCUGUUAGGAGGAGGGCACAGUAGGUGGCUGGGCAGGGGCCAGAGGGUUGGGAAAAUGAGGCACUCAUCCAAACAGUGUCAGGGAUUUUCAGUGGGCAUUUGUAGAGGAUGCCGAGCCCAGGGGAGCAGAGACGUAUUGUGACAUAUGUCUAUCUAUAGUCAGUAGGGAAGCGGCAAGGUCACUAGAGACAGAGAGACAGCCCAUUCUCCAGCUUCCUCUUACUAUCUCUGUGAAGGCUGAUUUGUGCCUUGCCACUGGCAAGCCACCCCAAUCAAACACUCGAUGUCCAAGUGGCAUUGAGAACACAUCAGUAGCCUAAUACAUUGGUCAGAACCACAGGAGCUCAACUGGAGGCAUAGCCGCUUUCUCUGUUUGGCUGGUGACAUCUUGAUAAAGUUCUCAAGGCCUGCAGUCAGCCCUUGACAGCUUCUCUGGGCAACAGUUCAUCUUGGAACGCUUCUAACACCCUUCCGCCCCGCCCCCCCAGACACAGCAGCUGGCAGGCUGCUGCUGCCUGCCAGGAAAGGCCUGGACCUCACUGGGAUUCCAGAGUCUUGACUUUCAGUCCCUUCAUGCAGCAUCCUCUGACCACAGCUCCUGAUCAGUAGGUGGGAGGCCAAUUUAAAAACACAAAAUGUAGUUCUUUCUCACAUGUCUAAAAAGUAUGAAGACAUAUCCAAAUAUCAGACUAGCUAAAAUCUUUGACUUACCCUAGAUUCUCCUAAAAGUAGAGUCUGAGGCCGGGUGCGGCGGCUCACGCCUGUAAUCCCAACACUUUGGGAGGCUAAGGUGGGCAGAUCACCUGAGGUCAGGAGUUCAAGACCAGUCUGGCCAACAUGGUGAAACCCCAUCCCUACUAAAAAUACAAAAAUUGGCCAGGGGUGGUGGCACAUGCCUGUAGUCCCAGCUACUCAGGAGGCUGAGGCAGGAGAAUUUCUUGAACCCAUGAGGCGGAGGUUGCAGUGAGCUGAGAUUGCACCGCUGCAUUCCAGCCUGGGCAACAGAGCGAAUCCAUCUUUUUUAAAAAAUUACUCAGUCUUACUAUUCUGUUAUAGCAGCACAAAAUGGACUAAGACAUGAGCUCAACAUCCCUUCCUCCAUUUCUGGGAACAGCAUCUCUAUUUUGGGAUUGGGAAACCACCAUCUCACUUCCAGUCCCUAUGAUUGCAUGAGGCUAACCUCUCUUUGUUGCCAAGACACCAACUCCAAGAGUUGGUCAAGUCCCAGGUCCAGCCAGUCAACACAGUCUGUUCCUCCCUACCAGCUACAAUAAUUAGUUCAGGACUGAUCCCUAAAUCCUAGGUGCUUAGAUCUUCAUUUGAGUAUUCACACAGCCAUGUAUUUUGGGAAUGCAAUUCCAUCCCAUGGGUAGGACCUGAGAGGCUUAAACUAACCUACAGUUUAAGUACAUCCGUUCCAUUGAAUGAAGACACUAAUUUUGGAGUGAGUAUCUAACCAAAGUGGCCCAGCCAGCCUGACUCUCAAGACUGGCUUGGAAUGCUGGAACACACGUGUUCUUUCUGCUGCUGAAAGGAAGAAGGAAGCCCAUGGUGCCAACUGCUGCUGGAGGGCAUCCUAAGACUCCAAGGUGAACACGUCUCAGUAGAACACUUCACUAUAUGUGGCAGAGAAAAAAGACAAAACCGAUCCCUGAGG